GAUGAACGCUGGCGGCGUGCCUAAUACAUGCAAGUCGAGCGAACAGAUGAGGAGCUUGCUCCUCUGACGUUAGCGGCGGACGGGUGAGUAACACGUGGAUAACCUACCUAUAAGACUGGGAUAACUUCGGGAAACCGGAGCUAAUACCGGAUAAUAUAUUGAACCGCAUGGUUCAAUAGUGAAAGACGGUUUUGCUGUCACUUAUAGAUGGAUCCGCGCCGCAUUAGCUAGUUGGUAAGGUAACGGCUUACCAAGGCAACGAUGCGUAGCCGACCUGAGAGGGUGAUCGGCCACACUGGAACUGAGACACGGUCCAGACUCCUACGGGAGGCAGCAGUAGGGAAUCUUCCGCAAUGGGCGAAAGCUUGACGGAGCAACGCCGCGUGAGUGAUGAAGGUCUUCGGAUCGUAAAACUCUGUUAUUAGGGAAGAACAAAUGUGUAAGUAACUAUGCACGUCUUGACGGUACCUAAUCAGACAGCCACGGCUAACUACGUG
Molecule: ribosomal RNA, 497 nt
Filed under: uncultured bacterium
Lineage: Bacteria
Description: partial 16S ribosomal RNA
Rfam family: Bacterial small subunit ribosomal RNA
Source: RNAcentral